This is an RNA transcript of Oncorhynchus keta (chum salmon), 3003 nucleotides long. It is a transcript of the gene named serine-protein kinase ATM-like, with no coding region annotated. The record is from RefSeq and is a predicted model, not a curated record. The transcript has 8 exons. NCBI's taxonomy places the organism in Eukaryota, Metazoa, Chordata, Actinopteri, Salmoniformes, Salmonidae.
AUGGGGAGUGUCCACUUUCAGUUUUUAGCUCAUUUCAAGUUACUUCCACGACGUUACAUAUAGAAGCUGAUACCCGUUUUGUCAUUGAAGUUUGUUUUGAUGAUUGUUAUUACUGGUGGUGGCUUUUGCAUCUCUGCACAAAACAUUAUGUUCUUGUAUACAGAAAGAGGCUUAUAGCUUCAGACAACUCCUCCGGUCUCCUGACACAGUGGAGGAGCUGCAUCACAUUCUGGAACCAGAGCAUCUAAAGGCUCCAAGCAGCUCACCUGGGAUGCAGGCCUCAGGCAGGAGAGACACUUGUCAGUGGUGGAGCACUUGGUCUGCUGCCAUGAACUGCCAUAUGAGGGUGUGUCGGCUGGGUGAGGAGCUCCUGCCCUCUAUGCUCUAUGUAUGGAGACAGAUGAGGCGCAGCAGCACUCUCAAAGAGGAGAUAGUAGAGUUAUUCAACCUGCAGCUCUGUGUACAUCAUCUCAAGGGUCAAAUACACAAGACACAGGAGCCUAUGCUGAGGACUGGGCCAAAUGGCAGAGUCUACUCUAUAACCUCUAUGAUGCCCUGGUGACUGAGAUCAGCCAGAUUGGGAGCCGGGAGAAAUAUGCCACAGGGUUGCGCCACAUUGCUGUGAAGGAGAACCUUAUUGAGCUAACUGGAGACAUCAGAUGAUAAAUCUAAGAUCCUUAAUUUUCACAUCUUGACUUAAUUUACCAUUUCCAGGCUAAAACCUGAGCUGUGCUGACAUAGUUCACCUGUCUUUAAGAUGGUUUUGGUAUUGUUGGUCUCAUCUUCAUGUUUUGGGUGUUUGACUGAUUCUUAGCUCUAUAGCGAAGAUUGUAACCUUCAGAUUCUGGAUGUGACUCAGGCCCACCUCAGAGCCACCCAGAGAGGAAGUCCCCAGGGCACGCCCAGCAAGUGCAGACACAUCGAGCUGGGCUGGGAGGUUCUACGAGACCACCUGCAGCCACACCAUCAUACCAUGGUGAGAAAAGACUAUCACACCAAGGUUCAGUGCUCAUUAACUUGCCAAAUAUACUUAUAUUUAGUGCAGUCAAACUCUUCAUAUCUCAAUAUCCUCUGUGUUCCCCUACUCAACAAUACAAUGCUCCUAUAUAAGCUACAGAUGACAUUAGUGUUGACCUCUAAGUACCCCUCCAUCGUGCCUGGCUAGGAGCUGGUUCCUCUGCUGUCAUGUCAUAUAAAGUCACUUCCUCAACAUUUGAUUUACUAAUUUACUCUUUGCAAAUUACAGUGCAUUGUGCUUUUAACUCUGAAUGACCAUUUCAAUGUCUGUCUGUGUGCAGUGUUGCUGAUCUGUGUUUGGCCCAGAUCCUUCUCAAGGUCCUGUUCCUAAGCUUGGGCACUGGGUGGGACCAUGCAGGGCCGUGGAGGGGGUCGGGCCCCCCAGCAUCAAGGAGAACAUCAUGAGCUGGCUGCUGAUGAACGAACAGAGUGAAGAGGCAGAGGAGAGCUCAAGAUCACACCCUAUCAUCUGCAGUGGGCAGUUUAUCACUGGGCUCAUAUCUCAUUUUUAUUCACGCUUAACCGCUCUGCUAGUGUUGUCUAAUUGGGAUUAUUUUGCCUUGAUACAAUGUUUUAUGUCUGUAAUUGUUUUAACACAUCCCUAAUACAAGUUUGUGUCUUAUUCCUCUUUGCCCAGGGAUUUUCCUCACAACCUAAUUCGCAGAAUCCUUGUGCCUUUGACCCUCAAAGACACCCGAGCUGGCCUUAUGUUUCUCCUCGGAGCAAAGGAACUUGAGAGGCUGUUCUUGGAGAUGACACCGGACAGCGGACACCGGACAUGCUUCCUCUGAAAUGCCAGCAGACAGCCUUUGAGAACGUCUACCUGAAAGCCUAAGAAGGGAUGAGGCUCCAGAAGAGCAGCUCUCCUGAAUACCUGAAUGACGAGACAUUUAACCGCAAGGCCACGCUGCUGAAGAAUGUGUCGGUGGUGCUGUGCUGCAGCCCCGUCUGUGAGAAACAGUCCCUCUUCGCCCUCUUCCAGUCCAACAAGGAGAACAACAUAGAGGAGCCACUCAUCAAAGAGCUAAGGGCAAAUCAUUUGGCUACACGUAUUUACAGUCUCAUAAGGUUAAACUGAAAGCACUUUAUAGUGUAGGUGGAUAACUCAGCCUUUCCACCGUCACUACAUACAGUAUCGCUGUCUGACUACUAUCAGUAUGCUAUGAUAUUGACAGACUGAAUGUUAACCUGGUUUGUCCCUCACCCCAUGUAGAUCCUGGGCAGUGAGUCCAGAGUUCUGGGCUACAGAAGUGUGGAGGGGUUUGUUAGCUCUCACCUGGAUUACCUGGUGGCAGAGGGGCUGGGCUAGCCUGGCUAUACCCUGGAGUCCUUCUCCUACACCCUGCUCAAUCACCCCACUCUCUUCUACAGCAAAUCUACUGCCUGAUUCACAGUAACCUGGCGGACAUUGUGGUGGAGCUGUUGAUGACCCUGUAUGAUGGGCUGCUACUGAGGAGGGCAGAGGGGACCUGAGGAGGGAACUGGACCCAGCCCCAAUCCCACCCUCUUUCAGCUCCAAUGUUAUCAAAGCCACACUGGACUACUUCAGCAAAUGUCACAGUGCCAGUCACCAGUCGUCCCUGGUGGCCAUUUUAUCCAGGACACUGAUCUCCAUCCAGAGGAUCCUGCUGGCGGUGUGUCAGAAGGCAGCUGAGACGAUCAAUGCCUACGAGAGGAUCCCAGGGCAGUGAUUGGAGACAUUAGCCUGUGUAGUGUGCUGGUUUUCCUGACUCUCUGUGGUCACUAAAAGAUCCCAUGGAAUGUAAGAGUAGGGGUGUUAACCCUGGUGUCCUGGCGAAAUUCCCAAUCUGGUUCUCAUACCCUCAUGGCCACCUAAUCAUCCCCUGCUUCCAAUUGGCUCAUUCAUCCCCACUCCUUUCCCAUUUAACUAUUCCCCAGGUCGUUGCUGUAAAUUAUGUGUUCUCAGUCAACUUAUGUGGUAAAAUAAGAGUUAAAUCAAAUAAAACACAACCACUUUCCAAAUGA